RNAcentral lists this ribosomal RNA (279 nucleotides) under Triticum aestivum (bread wheat). Its description in RNAcentral is "partial small subunit ribosomal RNA". Lineage: Eukaryota; Viridiplantae; Streptophyta; Magnoliopsida; Poales; Poaceae. The record is from RNAcentral.
AUGGCGAUGCUGAAGAAGAACACGAACUCCCUGAUGUGCUGCGGCUUCGCGGCCGCUCUCAUGGUGGUCAUGGCUGCCACCCUCCUCGUCUUCUCAUGCGAUGCCCGCGAAGAGAUGGAUGAUCUUGCUGCUUCUUUUGUGCCGGCGUCGUGCUACUCCAACUACUUCCCACACUGCACCGACCACCGGUGCAAGAAGUUCUGCGGCGGCGCCCGCGAGCCGCCGGUCCCCGGAGCCUUCUGCAACGACCGAAGCAACUGCUGCUGCCCCGUUAGUUGA